RNAcentral lists this ribosomal RNA (253 nucleotides) under uncultured bacterium. Its description in RNAcentral is "partial 16S ribosomal RNA". It matches the Rfam family "Bacterial small subunit ribosomal RNA", at positions 524 to 776 of the family's 1533-position model. The record is from RNAcentral.
UACAUGGGGUGCAACCGUUGCUCGGAAUUAUUGGGCGUAAAGCGCACGUAGGCGGUCCAGCAAGUCGGGUGUGAAAGCCCUCGGCUUAACCGAGGAAGUGCAUUCGAAACUACUGGACUUGAAUACUGAAGAGGAUCGCGGAAUUCCCGGUGUAGAGGUGAAAUUCGUAGAUAUCGGGAGGAACACCAGUGGCGAAGGCGGGUCUCUGGACAGGUCCUGACGCUGAGGCACGAAGGUCAGGGGAGCAAACGGG